GGGGACGAGGGGGUCGAGGACGAGGUGGAGGUGGAGGGAGAGGGCGAGGACGAGGGAGAGGAGGAAGAGGUGCCUCUAGAGGAGCCAGCCGAACCAAACGAGCACGAGUUGCAGAUGAUGAAUUUGAUACGAUGUUUGCAGGACGUUUCAGUAGACUUCCACGGAUUAAAACAAGAAACCAAGGCAGGAGAACUGUUUUAUAUAAUGAUGAUUCAGAUAAUGACAACUUUGUCUCCACUGAGGAUCCUCUGAAUCUUGGUACAUCCAGAUCAGGCAGAGUACGUAAAAUGACAGAAAAAGCCAGGGUUAGCCAUCUCAUGGGAUGGAAUUAUUAACAGUUAGAGAUUUUAAAAUAAUUUUUGAAAAUAAAAUCAAUGGCCUUCUACUGCAGGGAAUUUAUCAGAAAAUCUACAAAGCAAGUUGUGUGGGGACUUCUGCUUCCUUUCACAUUGGUGCUUUUCCAUUAUGCCAGUAUACAUUUGUUUCAAGACUUUUAAUCUCCACACUUCAUUUGUUCAAACAAGCCUUACUCAUUAGGCCUUAAAUUAAAACAAAUUCUGCCCACACAUAUAUGUGUGUGCACAUACACAUGCAUGGACAUGUGCUCACUUGCGUACAAACAUAUACAUAUACACACAUAUACACACACACACACAUACAUACACACAGACACACUACAGAUUUACUACAUUAAAGGAGCAUUCUGCUUCUUAAGAGUAGCAUGACAUUUUUAUCUCAAUAAAAUAUCCCUCUUUGCUUUUGUAUCACAGAAGUAUAGCACCUUCUUACAGAGUUUUAUAUAGUUUGUUUUUGCCAUUUUGAUUCCUAUACCCAGUAAUAAUAACUUUUGCACAAUACACCAAUCCUAAAGGCAGCUAUUAAAUGUUUACAGUUUCUAUAUUGUAAGAACGAUCUGGAUUAUUUUACUCUUCCCAGGCCAAACUUUCACGAACUGUACUGAACUGAAGUAUAUAUUUAUACUGCAGUUUUGGGGUGGGGUGGGGGGUAUCUUGAUAUGCUUUUCAUUGAUUUGCUUAAUUCA
Molecule: long non-coding RNA, 1042 nt
Filed under: Rattus norvegicus (Norway rat)
Lineage: Eukaryota; Metazoa; Chordata; Mammalia; Rodentia; Muridae
Description: long non-coding RNA NONRATT031103
Source: RNAcentral